This 1879-nucleotide ribosomal RNA is filed under the name Salmonella enterica subsp. enterica serovar Typhimurium. Its description in RNAcentral is "partial 23S ribosomal RNA". It matches the Rfam family "Bacterial large subunit ribosomal RNA", at positions 1 to 1920 of the family's 2925-position model. Lineage: Bacteria; Pseudomonadati; Pseudomonadota; Gammaproteobacteria; Enterobacterales; Enterobacteriaceae. The record is from RNAcentral.
GUUAUAUGGUCAAGCGAAUAAGCGCACACGGUGGAUGCCUUGGCGGUCAGAGGCGAUGAAGGACGUGGCAGCCUGCGAAAAGUAUCGGGGAGCUGGCAACAAGCUUUGAUCCGGUAAUGUCCGAAUGGGGAAACCCACCCGCUUGCGGGUAUCCUGCAGUGAAUACAUAGCUGCUGGAAGCGAACCUGGUGAACUGAAAUAUCUAAGUAACCAGAGGAAAAGAAAUCAACCGAGAUUCCGUAAGUAGCGACGAGCGAACGCGGACUAGCCCUUAAGCUGAUUUGGUUCUAGGAAAACGCUCUGGAAAGAGCGGCCAUAGAAGGUGAUAGCCCUGUAUCUGAAAGGGCCAUUCCAGUGAAGACGAGUAGGGCGGGGCACGUGAAACCCUGUCUGAACAUGGGGGGACCAUCCUCCAAGGCUAAAUACUACUGACCGACCGAUAGUGAACCAGUACCGUGAGGGAAAGGCGAAAAGAACCCCGGAGAGGGGAGUGAAAUAGAACCUGAAACCGUGUGCGUACAAGCAGUAGGAGCUCCGCAAGGAGUGACUGCGUACCUUUUGUAUAAUGGGUCAGCGACUUACUGUUCGUGGCAAGCUUAACCGUAUAGGGGAGGCGAAGGGAAACCGAGUCUGAUAAGGGCGCAUAGUCGCGGGCAGUAGACCCGAAACCGGGUGAUCUAGUCAUGCCCAGGGUGAAGGUGCGGUAACACGCACUGGAGGCCCGAACCCACUCCCGUUGCAAAGGUAGGGGAUGAGGUGUGAUUAGGAGUGAAAAGCUAAUCGAACCCGGAGAUAGCUGGUUCUCCUCGAAAGCUAUUUAGGUAGCGCCUCAUAUGUAUCCUCUCGGGGGUAGAGCACUGUUAUGGCUAGGGGGUCAUCGCGACUUACCAAACCAUUGCAAACUCCGAAUACCGAGACGGACUGUAUGGGAGACACACGGCGGGUGCUAACGUCCGUCGUGAAAAGGGAAACAACCCAGACCCACAGCUAAGGUCCCAAAUUUUGUGCUAAGUGGAAAACCAUGUGGAAAGGCACAGACAGCCAGGAGGUUGGCUUAGAAGCAGCCACCCUUUAAAGAAAGCGUAAUAGCUCACUGGUCGAGUCGGUCUGCGGGGAAGAUUUAACGGGGCUAAGCACAGAACCGAAGCUUGGGGUGCAUAACUUUGUUAUGCGCGGUAGAGGAGCGUUCCGUAAGCCGUUGAAGGUGGAUUGAGAAGUCUGCUGGAGGUAUCGGAAGUGCGAAUGCUGACAUGAGUAACGAUAAUGCGGGUGAAAAACCCGCACGCCGAAAGCCCAAGGUUUCCUUGCGCAACGUUAAUCGGCGCAGGGUGAGUCGGCCCCUAAGGCGAGGACGAAAGUCGUAGUCGAUGGGAAGCAGGUUAAUAUUCCUGCACCUCGCGUAAGUGCGAUGGAGGGACGGAGAAGGUUAGGUGUACCAGGCGUUGGUUGUCCUGGGGAAAGGCGGUAGGUUUGGAUCUUUGGCAAAUCCGGGAUCCUCUAAGACCGAGCACCGAGACGAGCCUUUAUGGCGAAGUCACUGAUACCACGCUUCCAGGAAAAGCUCCUAAGCUUCAGCUUACGCAGACCGUACCGUAAACCGACACAGGUGGGUAGGAUGAGAAUUCUCAGGCGCUUGAGAGAACUCGGGUGAAGGAACUAGGCAACAUGGCACCGUAACUUCGGGAGAAGGUGCACCCUUUUUGGUGGCUCGUGCGAGCUAUAGCUGAAGAGGGUCGCAGUAACCAGGCCGCUGCGACUGUUUAUCAAAAACACAGCACUCUGCAAACACGAAAGUGGACGUAUAGGGUGUGACGCCUGCCCGGUGCUGGAAGGUUAAUUGAUGGGGUCAGCCGCAAGGCGAAGCUCUUGAUCGAAGCCC